This 733-nucleotide long non-coding RNA is filed under the name Manacus vitellinus (golden-collared manakin). RNAcentral describes it as "lncRNA (ENSMVIG00005007044.1)". Lineage: Eukaryota; Metazoa; Chordata; Aves; Passeriformes; Pipridae. The record is from RNAcentral.
GAAUAUGAAGCACUGACAUAGCCUGUCCAUGUGGUACUAGAUCUAGAAUACACCUGGCCUGGGAUGGACAGUGUAUGAGACCAUGUGAGCACUGUGGGCACUGCUGAGGUUUACCAGUAUUUCUGGACUGUGUUAAGAUAUUCUGUCUCUCCACUCCUCAUUAGUGAAAGUCAUUUCUGCAUUUGUGGGCAUGGCCAGUUUGCUCAGACUACAUGGCAGAAGUGCACAACAUGACUUGGGCAGCAGAUUCUGCCAGAUCACAAGCUUUUCUAGGGGUUUAGUUGGAUUUUUGAAUAAAGGGGUACCACAGACUUUAUGGAGUAUGUGCCCUGUAAAAGCCUUAAGGGCCAUAUCCUACCUUCUGAGGGUGAUUUCACACCUUUUAACUCCCAGGCUGUGCUGGGGCUUGGACUGUCCAUCUAUUCCUUCAAUAUGAGGAAAAGCUCAUCUUGUAGAAACUGCAGUGUCUGAGUAAAUUCAAUGAGUAACAGCAUGAUCCAGUUUUUGCAGCCUGAAUAUUAUGGAUCCAUCUGGCCCUGGGAUCAGCCCUUGCUGUCUCAUUGACAGUUAUCUAAAAUAACAGACUUAAAAACAAGAGAAGUAAGUAAUUAUAAAUAGGUAGUACUUGGUUAUGACUAAUUUUUCAGGCACACUAUGACAUAAUGGAGACAAACUGCUCUGUUGUUGGCCACAAUCUCCUACAUCAACAAGCAUGUGCUUUGCGCUGCUCUCG